CGGUAGCUAAAUGCGGAAGAGAUAAGUGCUGAAAGCAUCUAAGCACGAAACUUGCCCCGAGAUGAGUUCUCCCUGAGACUUUAGGUCUCCUGAAGGAACGUUGAAGACGACGACGUUGAUAGGCCGGGUGUGUAAGCGCAGCGAUGCGUUGAGCUAACCGGUACUAAUGAACCGUGAGGCUUAACCUUACAACGCCGAAG
Molecule: ribosomal RNA, 200 nt
Filed under: Salmonella enterica
Lineage: Bacteria; Pseudomonadati; Pseudomonadota; Gammaproteobacteria; Enterobacterales; Enterobacteriaceae
Also listed under: 2 other names
Description: partial 23S ribosomal RNA
Rfam family: Bacterial large subunit ribosomal RNA
Source: RNAcentral